Molecule: long non-coding RNA, 1138 nt
Filed under: Toxoplasma gondii VEG
Lineage: Eukaryota; Apicomplexa; Conoidasida; Eucoccidiorida; Sarcocystidae
Source: RNAcentral
CGGAUUAACUACUCGUUUCAAUCCGAUGGGAUGGAUGAUGCACUGGCUUCGUCUUGAUAAGGAAACCAUCCGCGAUUCCGAAAAGCAAUUCUUUUCCGCGUAGCCAGCUGCUUGAGACAUGGUUAGGCCGUGCGACGACAGACUGGCGCGUAGCAUUUAGGUUGAAGGCAGAAGCUACACAAGGCAAGAAAGCAAAGAGCGCGGGUUUUUUUCGCCUACGAGCAUUUCGAUGACCGCGCUUAUCAAGUACCCUGGCCCCCGGGAAGAACCAGUUCAUUCAGAGGCUGUUCUUUCCCAGGCGACGGUUCUCGAUGCUGGAAGGGCUGAGGGAGCAUCUAAGUUCUUCUGGCGUUACACAAGCACCACCAGUUCCCCCCCCCUCAAAGCCUGUGUUGUUUUUAUAAUAGUGAAACGUGAGUAAUGCAACGGUCUCAGUCCGAGGAAUCAUCUGUUGUCGGGGGCGGCCCGUUCCCCUCAAGUGAAAAUCGAAACGAAGGAAUUACAUGUGCGCAUGCAGGUUCGACCGGUAGUUUAGCAUUCACCCUUCGUAAGACAUUCGUAUUCAAUUGAUACGGCAAGCCAUUUGCAUUCAUGUUUCCAGCGAGAUACCUCAAUGGCGUUUCGCCGGACAGCAGGCUCAUUCAACCUGAUGUUGAAAAUUCUCCAGCAUUUAGUGAUGUCGUCAGUCAUCUGCACUUGCCACGAGGAACACUUGUGUCUGCAUGCAGGGGAGUCUGUGAUUGGUUUUCCGAUUAACGAUCCAAAGACGCUUCAGUGGCGCUGUCAAUAGCUGAGGUCCACUGCCGCUUUCUGCAGUUUUACAACCGAACCCCGUGGCUCAUUAUAACCGAACGUCCUUUCAGGUGGUAACUUUGCCAGUAUUUGCGUGCUUGCUUGGGGAAAAUGAGCUGUAGCAUGGAUUAUGUUCGUGUUUCAGAAGUGUGAACCGGCUAGGUCGCUCCCGCAGGCGCCAGCGAACUGAGUUUUGUUCUUUCUUCUCACAUCCAGGUUUCUAUGCCAUGAUACCUUGCGUAUUUCGAACAAUGCGGUCCCCCGACGUAUAGGCGACGCUAUGUACCUCGGACUUCUCUAGCAUCGACCGUGUAUGAGUUGUGACGCGCACGAACUGGGGCGCGAC